AUUGAACGCUGGCGGCAGGCUUAACACAUGCAAGUCGAGCGGGUGAUGGUGCUUGCACUAUCACUUAGCGGCGGACGGGUGAGUAUGCUUAGGAAUCUGCCUAUUAGUUGGGGACAACAAUUCGAAAGGGAUGCUAAUAACGCAUACGGCCUACGGGAGGAAGCAGGGGGACAACUGUGACCCUGGCCCAAUAGAAUAGCCUAAGUCGGAUUUGCUUGUUGGGGGGGUAAAGGCCUACCAAGGGGAAGAUCUGUAGCGGGUCUGAGAGGGAUGAUCCGCCACACUGGGACUGAGACACGGCCCAGACUCCUACGGGAGGCAGCAGUGGGGAAUAUUGGACAAUGGGGGGAACCCUGAUCCAGCCAUGCCGCGUGUGUGAAGAAGGCCUUAUGGUUGUAAAGCACUUUAAGCGAGGAGGAGGCUCUUUUGGUUAAUACCCAAGAUGAGUGGACGUUACUCGCAGAAUAAGCACCGGCUAACUCUGUGCCAGCAGCCGCGGUAA
This 502-nucleotide ribosomal RNA is filed under the name uncultured bacterium. Its description in RNAcentral is "partial 16S ribosomal RNA". It matches the Rfam family "Bacterial small subunit ribosomal RNA", at positions 30 to 523 of the family's 1533-position model. The record is from RNAcentral.